UCAAGUUUAUAGCUGUAAUAAAUUCAUUUUGAUGAACAUAAACUUCAAGCAUAAUGUUAAUGAAAUAACUAGUUAUAUUUUAAGAAAUUUUCUUUCAAGUGAGUUGAUCUGUGGUUGUAGACACAUCUCAGUUCAUUUAGAUAACUAGCAUUUUGAAAAAGAUGUAAAAGACCCAUGUGAAUACUGAAAAGUUGACAGUAUUAGCAUCUCCUAACUGGUAGAGCAGAUGAUCAUUCAUUCUGUGACAUAUUUUACAUAGUUAAACAAUCCUCAAUUCUCCACUCUGUUAUAUUUUACAAAUUACUUUUUACUAAUGAGAAAAACCAAGAUUUAGUAAGUAACUUGCCCAGGACAUAAAAUAUACAUUCAAGCGGUAAGAUUAAAUGCAUCUCUACAUAGUUCAAAACCUAUUUGGUUUCUACUAUACAACACUGUCUCAAGGUACAGUCAGAUGAAAGAUCACACACAAAUAAAUAUCUGUAUUCUAAGAUAGAACCCCAAAUUAGUAUCAAAAGCAAAUAGGUCCUUUAUUAUGCAGGAAAGCAGGAAUAAAAUGGUGCUAGACAAAGCAUAUUCUGAACCAGGUUGAGUAAUAGAACAUGGUUUAUUUUUAUAAUCAUUUAAUUGCAGUCAUUCCAUUGUGAUUCAGAUUGUAAUUGAGGCACAGUGAGAGUUGAGAAAUUUUGGGUGGUUCAUUUCACUUACCUCUUUCUUUGUAAAAUCACUGGUUGCUAGGAACCACUGCACUCUGAAGGAUUCCCUUGUUUACACACCCCAAUUCCUUUGACACCAUGUCAUUCCUGUGAUGACAGUAGGGGGCUCUUGAUGAGAUUGUCAUUGCACUUUUAUUGUCAAUGGAACUUAAUAGAACAACUCUCUGACUUCUUCAAACAUAGUCUCUCAACUUCAAACUACUUCCAAGUAUGUCACUACGAAAUCGAAAUUUCUAGGGAAAGAAAUAAACCGUAUGGUGCUUUUCCCCUUCAGCUUAUUCUACCAUAUGCUACUAGAAAAUGGGAAUGCUAUAAUGCUAUUAAUUUAGACUCCCUGUGUUCCCAGUGCUACCAUUCCCCAGCUAAUUUAAAGAAUCUUUUCUAUUGGGCUGGAAAAAUAUUGUCUUUGGGAAAAGAAAAAAGAAUUGGAUUAGAAGAGACCAAUGAGACUGAAAGUUGUCUUGCUCCUGGGCCUAAGAACACCAUACACAGAAGACCAGAGUUCUUGGAGUUCACAUUACUGCUACAUUGUGGUGGUUGGAAUGAAAUUGUCUGCCUCGGGCUUGGGUAUUUGAACACUUGGUUCCCAGUCCCAGUUGGCACUGUUUGUGGAGCUUGAAGAGGUGCAGAUUUGCUAUAGGGAAUAUGAGAGUUCAGAGCAUUACCCGACUUCUGGUCCACUCUGUCUGUUUCCUGCUUGAGGCUGAGGAUAUGAGCAUUAAGCUUCCGGCUUCUGAUCCAAUGCCUGUUGAUUGCUACUAUGCUUCCCCGUAAAGCUGGACACUUGUCCUUCGGGAACCGUAAACUAAGCUAAACUUUUUCCAAUAUGUUGUCUUAAUCCUGUGUUUUAUUUCAGCAACAAAAAGUAACUAAUACAUGAAUCUUGAAGCUUUUUUUGAGCUACAGAAUUCACAGGUUGGCGUCAGUACAUUACUUGUUGCUAAUAGAAGGUGUAUGUCCUGAGCAUUACUUUUUAUCUGAUUGACCCUGAAUACUUCAUAAAGCAGUCCUUCAAGGAAUACUGGCAGAGCAUUUCAGUGCUACAAAAGGACAACCUUUGUGGUAAGCCCAAAAGAAUUUUAAGGUUUUACAGAAGUAUAUGCAAAGUUAAGUUUUAGGCUUAGAUAUUUUAACAAAAUUAGUACACUUAUCAUGUGUAGAAGCAGUGUCCAUAUAUCACUCUAAAAUUUUAAAAAAGCAAAAAAAAACUCCACAAACAUUAUGAAUGGAUUUGUUUUAAGUUAAAAAAAGAACAACUCAGGCUUCGAAAGAUGACCCAGUAGAUAAUGGCACUUGGGGACUAAUGAUGUAAGCCUGAUGACUUGAACUUGGUCCCUCGAAUCCACAUAAAGUUAGGAGAGACCUACUCUGUGAAAUUGUCCGAUGACUUCCCCAUGUUUAUCAUGUGUCCAAUGACUUCCCCAUGUUCAUCAUGUGUCCAAAGACUUCCCCAUGUUCAUCAUGGUAUGUGCCCACCCACUUUCCCCAUCACACAUGAGUAAUAAAUAAAAUAAUAAAGAUUUUAGAAAGCACAACUAAGAACUUUGGAAAUUUCAUGUUUCAGCUUCUAGUUGGAUUUUUGUUUUUCCCAUAAUGCUGCUUAUCUUUUUUAUUUUAAUGUGGAUAUGUCUAUAAAUCUUUUAGGAGUAUUAUUGUUCAUUGAGUCUUGGGGAAGUUUUCUAUAUUUCAAAUUCACAAAAUCAAUGUGUUCUUUUAGCAUUGUUAUUUUUAUAAAAAGCACUUGAUUUUUUUUUCCUGUGUAGAAUAGAUUUAGAUGCCUGUGUGGGAAAAAAAUCAAUAACGGUCGUUCCAUUUAUUGAAUAAUUCACAUUUUCCCGACUAAUUUGUAAUGACCAAUAUUUUCUGUGAUGUUUCUGAGUGUAUUGAUGUAUAUAGUUCUGUAUCCUUGGUCAAUUUUUGGCACCCGGCUAAAAGCAACAUGGGAAAGGAAAGACUUUUGGAGUUUACAGCCCAUUAUCAAGGAAACCACCUCAAGAACUCAAGGCAGGGACCUGGAGCAGGAACUGAAGAAGACACCUUGGAGGAAUGCUUUUCCCUGGUUGGCUCCACAGUGGCUUGCUCAACCUGCUUUCUUAUACAACGCAGCCCCACCUACCCAGGGAUGGCACCGCGUUUGGUGGGCACAUCAGUCAUUGGUCAAGAAAAUGCUAACAAACGUGGCCAAAGGUUUCAUAUCUGCAGAUUCAAUCAAGCAUGAAUAAAAAUGAUUCUGAACAUCAGUAAAAUAUGCAAUUUAAUCUGUCGUGACAUUUUUGUCCUUAUUCUGCAAAUAAUAAAAUAUUUUAGUGAUUUAUACA
This is a long non-coding RNA of Mesocricetus auratus (golden hamster), 3031 nucleotides long. RefSeq lists it as uncharacterized. Lineage: Eukaryota; Metazoa; Chordata; Mammalia; Rodentia; Cricetidae. The transcript has 2 exons. The record is from RefSeq and is a predicted model, not a curated record.